This 253-nucleotide ribosomal RNA is filed under the name uncultured bacterium. Its description in RNAcentral is "partial 16S ribosomal RNA". It matches the Rfam family "Bacterial small subunit ribosomal RNA", at positions 524 to 776 of the family's 1533-position model. The record is from RNAcentral.
UACGUAGGGUGCGAGCGUUAAUCGGAAUUACUGGGCGUAAAGCGUGCGCAGGCGGCGCGUUAAGACAGGUGUGAAAGCCCCGAGCUUAACUUGGGAAUUGCGCUUGUGACUGGCGAGCUGGAGUGUGGCAGAGGGAGGUGGAAUUCCACGUGUAGCAGUGAAAUGCGUAGAGAUGUGGAAGAACACCGAUGGCGAAGGCAGCCUCCUGGGCCAGCACUGACGCUCAUGCACGAAAGCGUGGGGAGCAAACAGG